RNAcentral lists this unclassified non-coding RNA (223 nucleotides) under plant metagenome. Its description in RNAcentral is "partial contains small subunit ribosomal RNA, internal transcribed spacer 1, and 5.8S ribosomal RNA". The record is from RNAcentral.
UUUCCGUAGGUGAACCUGCGGAAGGAUCAUUAAAGAGAAUAUGCCCUCCGGGGUAGAUCUCCCACCCUUUGUUUAUAUUACCAUUGUUGAAUUAGCAGGCCAGUCUUCGGACCACCGGCUUCGGCUGGUCAGUGCUUGCCAGUAGACCCAAAACUCUUAUUAUUAAUGUCGUCUGAGUACUAUAUAAUAGUUAAAACUUUCAACAACGGAUCUCUUGGUUCUG